This 64-nucleotide transfer RNA is filed under the name Goniodes dissimilis (brown chicken louse). RNAcentral describes it as "tRNA-Met". It matches the Rfam family "tRNA". From Rfam's summary of the family: Transfer RNA (tRNA) molecules are approximately 80 nucleotides in length. The record is from RNAcentral. Lineage: Eukaryota; Metazoa; Arthropoda; Insecta; Psocodea; Philopteridae.
AGAGGAGUAUGCAACAGCAACCAGACUCAUAACCUGGAAAUUGAGGGUUAUCCCUCCUCCUCUA